AACAUCGCGCACCUGCGGGAACCUGCGGAGGGAUCAUUACCGAGUUUACAACUCCCAAACCCCUGUGAACAUACCUAUACGUUGCCUCGGCGGAUCAGCCCGCGCCCUGUAAAACGGGACGGCCCGCCCGAGGACCCUAAACUCUGUUUUUAGUGGAACUUCUGAGUAAAACAAACAAAUAAAUCAAAACUUUUAGCAAUGGAUCU
Molecule: unclassified non-coding RNA, 206 nt
Filed under: soil metagenome
Description: partial contains 5.8S ribosomal RNA, internal transcribed spacer 2, and large subunit ribosomal RNA
Source: RNAcentral